RNAcentral lists this ribosomal RNA (823 nucleotides) under uncultured bacterium. RNAcentral describes it as "bacterial SSU rRNA". It matches the Rfam family "Bacterial small subunit ribosomal RNA", at positions 57 to 887 of the family's 1533-position model. The record is from RNAcentral.
GCAGUCGAGGGGUAUAGGUUUUCGGACCUAGAGACCGGCGCACGGGUGCGUAACGCGUAUGCAAUCUACCUUUUACAGAGGGAUAGCCCAGAGAAAUUUGGAUUAAUACCUCAUAGUAUUAUUGAAUGGCAUCAUUUAAUAAUUAAAGUCACAACGGUAAAAGAUGAGCAUGCGUCCCAUUAGCUUGUUGGUAAGGUAACGGCUUACCAAGGCAACGAUGGGUAGGGGUCCUGAGAGGGAGAUCCCCCACACUGGUACUGAGACACGGACCAGACUCCUACGGGAGGCAGCAGUGAGGAAUAUUGGUCAAUGGGCGCAAGCCUGAACCAGCCAUGCCGCGUGCAGGAUGAAGCAUCUAUGGUGUGUAAACUGCUUUUGUACGAGAAGAAACACUCCUUCGUGAAGGAGCUUGACGGUAUCGUAAGAAUAAGGACCGGCUAACUCCGUGCCAGCAGCCGCGGUAAUACGGAGGGUCCAAGCGUUAUCCGGAAUCAUUGGGUUUAAAGGGUCCGUAGGCGGUUUUGUAAGUCAGUGGUGAAAGCCCAUCGCUCAACGGUGGAACGGCCAUUGAUACUGCAAGACUUGAAUUAUUGGGAAGUAACUAGAAUAUGUAGUGUAGCGGUGAAAUGCUUAGAUAUUACAUGGAAUACCAAUUGCGAAGGCAGGUUACUACUAAUAUAUUGACGCUGAUGGACGAAAGCGUGGGGAGCGAACAGGAUUAGAUACCCUGGUAGUCCACGCCGUAAACGAUGGAUACUAGCUGUUCGGAGCAAUCUGAGUGGCUAAGCGAAAGUGAUAAGUAUCCCACCUGGGGAGUACGUUC